GCGGGUUGCGCGCAGACACUCGUAUUCAGAAAUCCGACACGUACGAGUAAAACAAACUCUAAAUAUAAGAGUAAUAAGCAGAAUAACAUACAACAGACCCAUAAAUAGCUAACAUAGAAUAAAUUUAGAUCCACUUGUGAUGGAAUCUGCUGCUGUGAACUUUAGAUUCUCCUGCACAAGCUGGAAACUCUGAAGUGAAAUACCUGUGUAAAAAUAGCCCGCGGGAGCGCGUCUGCUCGCCGUGUCUGAUGGUCCGGAUCCUCCGUGAUCUGCUGCCGUUAACCGGAGGUGUGUGUGUGUGUAUCGGAUGAGCUGAUGAUGGGUGAAGCGUUCACACACACUCAGCGCUGCGGGAAACAUCUGCGACUGCUGCUCUUCAUCCUGCUGC
Danio rerio (zebrafish) is the source of this 388-nucleotide non-coding RNA. The record is from Ensembl. Lineage: Eukaryota; Metazoa; Chordata; Actinopteri; Cypriniformes; Danionidae.